CAGGUGGAGAACAUGUUGAGGACAUGUGGAGGACAUGUGGAGAACAUGUGGAGAACAUGUGGAGGACAGGUUGAGAACAUGUGGAGGACAUGUGGAGGACAUGUUGAGAACAUGUGGAGGACAUGUGGAGGACAUGUGGAGGACAUGUUGAGAACAUGUGGAGGACAGGUUGAGGACAUGUGGAGGACAGGUUGAGAACAUGUGGAGGACAUGUGGAGGACAUGUGGAGAACAUGUGGAGGACAGGUUGAGAACAUGUGGAGGACAUGUGGAGGACAUGUGGAGGACAGGUUGAGAACAUGUGGAGGACAUGUGGAGGACAUGUGGAGGACAUGUGGAGGACAUGUGGAGGACAGGUUGAGAACAUGUGGAGGACAGGUUGAGAACAUGUGGAGGACAGGUUGAGAACAUGUGGAGGACAGGUUGAGAACAUGUGGAGGACAGGUUGAGAACAUGUGGAGGACAGGUUGAGAACAUGUUGAGGACAUGUGGAGGACAUGUGGAGGACAGGUUGAGAACAUGUGGAGGACAUGUGGAGGACAUGUGGAGAACAUGUGGAGGACAGGUUGAGAACAUGUGGAGGACAGAUUGAGAACAUGUUGAGGACAUGUGGAGGACAUGUGGAGGACAGGUUGAGAACAUGUGGAGGACAUGUGGAGGACAGGUUGAGAACAUGUGGAGGACAGGUUGAGAACAUGUGGAGGACAUGUGGAGGACAGGUUGAGAACAUGUGGAGGACAGGUUGAGAACAUGUGGAGGACAGGUUGAGGACAUGUGGAGGACAGGUGGAGAACAUGUUGAGGACAUGUGGAGGACAUGUGGAGGAUAUGUAUCUUUGGGAAUGUGCCAAAUAUUUCAAAAUAGAUCCCAUGAUGUUCUCAUUGUCGUCCAGUUAUUAUGAGGUUAUUAAAUUGAUGUGUGUGUGUUCUGAUUCUAUAGAUCAGUAGCUGACAAAUUGGUAAAAUUAUUGUGGUUUCUAUGAGCGACGUGACGUGUGAACCAAAUCAUUCUGAAAUUAAUUUGUGAAUUUAUUUUAGCAUCAUAUUGUUUAAUAAAAACUCAAAGGAUU
Pseudoliparis swirei is the source of this 1068-nucleotide long non-coding RNA. RefSeq lists it as uncharacterized. NCBI's taxonomy places the organism in Eukaryota, Metazoa, Chordata, Actinopteri, Perciformes, Liparidae. The record is from RefSeq and is a predicted model, not a curated record. The transcript is spliced from 2 exons.